Molecule: long non-coding RNA, 1059 nt
Filed under: Cyanistes caeruleus (blue tit)
Lineage: Eukaryota; Metazoa; Chordata; Aves; Passeriformes; Paridae
Description: lncRNA (ENSCCEG00000021891.1)
Source: RNAcentral
UGGGCGGGCUCUGAGCCAGGCUGUGCGUGCAGAGAUCAGCCAGGAGACCGCGGUGAACCCCGUGGACAUCGUCAGCACCCUGCAGGCCCUGCAGAUGCUCAAGUACUGGAAGGGCAAACACCUGGUCCUCAAGAGGCAGGACCUGAUCGACGAGUGGAUCGCCAAGGAGGCCAAGAGAUCCAACAGCAACAAGACCAUGGAUCCCAGCUGCCUCAAGUGGACCCCUCCCAAGGGCACCUAAGCGUCCCCAGGGCCGGGCCCGGUGCCGCCCUGCCCGGCGUCCCCACAGUUCUGAGGAACUCGGAUGUUUCGGCCUCAGUGAGGCCGUGUGAGGACUGGAAGUGUCUGGGAGCCCCAGGGAGCCGAGGAGCUCCGAUUGCUGGGCCUGUCCCUGCUGUCCCUGCUGUCCUGCUCCAUCCUCCCGUCCCUCCUGCAGCUCAGCCGGCUGCCAGCGCUUCCCUGGAGCUGCUCCCGUCCCGUUCCACAUCCCAGAUAGCUUUAGUGGGAUCGUCUCCCCCCUCCUGCAGCAGUUUGCCCUGGGAUCCAGCAGAUCUUCGCUUAGUUCCUGUUGUACAGCCAGAAUUGCAGCCGAGGCAGGGGCGGGGUGUUCCCGUCACCCCCUCCCGGAGCCACCACAGCCCUGCUGGAAGCACCUCUGGAUCAGAAUUGCUGUUUUUUCCUGGCUGAAGGAAUCCAAACUUUGUCCUUCUCCAAAGAGCCACAGGAACUCCCCAGCACCGGUUCCAGGGAGGGAUGGAUUCCCUGGAAAAGCCAAAAAAAAAAAAACAAAAAAAAAGCUUUGAUUCCUCCCCUGCCAUCAGCAGAAAUACCCUGGAAUCCUCCCAGUGCCACCAGGGUCCCCCAGCCACCCGUCCCCGCGAGGCUGCGGGGUCACCGACACAGGGGACAGCCCUGGGCCGGGGCUGGAGGCAGCCCAGGCUGGAUUCCCUGAUCCCAGACUGGAUUCCCUGAUCCCAGGCUGGAUUCCCUGAUCCCAGGCUGGAUUCCCUGAUCCCAGGCUGGAUUCCCUGAUCCCAGUGCUGAUUUCAGUGAUCCCAG